ACGAACGCUGGCGGCGUGCUUAACACAUGCAAGUUGAACGGUGAAGCGCCUUCCUUUUUGGUGGGUGUGGAUGAGUGGCGAACGGGUGAGUAACACGUGAGUAACCUGCCCCCUUCUUCUGGAUAACCGCAUGAAAGUGUGGCUAAUACGGGGUAUUCUGGGUCUGUCGCAUGAUGGGUCUGGGAAAGAUAUUGUUUCGGUGGGGGGUGGGCUCGCGGCCUGUCAGCUUGUUGGUGGGGUGAUGGCCUACCAAGGCGGUGGCGGGUAGCCGGCCUGGGAGGGUGGCCGGUCAGACUGGGACUGAGACACGGCCCAGACUCCUACGGGAGGCAGCAGUGGGGAGUAUUGAACAAUGGGCGCAAGCCUGAUGCAGCGACGCCGCGGGAGGGAUGGAGGCCUUCGGGUUGUGAACCCCUUUCGCCAGUGAAGCGGGCCUGCCUCGUUUGUGGGUGGGUUGACGGUAGCUGGAUAAGAAGCGCCGGCUAACUACGUG
Molecule: ribosomal RNA, 493 nt
Filed under: uncultured bacterium
Lineage: Bacteria
Description: partial 16S ribosomal RNA
Rfam family: Bacterial small subunit ribosomal RNA
Source: RNAcentral